RNAcentral lists this long non-coding RNA (2003 nucleotides) under Betta splendens (Siamese fighting fish). RNAcentral describes it as "lncRNA (ENSBSLG00000010241.1)". The record is from RNAcentral. Lineage: Eukaryota; Metazoa; Chordata; Actinopteri; Anabantiformes; Osphronemidae.
GGAAAUGAACUCUUAUCUCAGCUAAGAGAAAAAGAGGGAGAAUUACACAGCGUCGUAUAUCAGCAUAGCAUAGAUGUGGGGGGGGGGUAAAUAGGGGGAGGAAGCGCUGAUUAUUCACACGUUAGCCCCGUUUCAACCUCUAGUUAAGAUGAACCAAUUAUCCUGCAGCGCGGACAGUCCCACACGUCUGAAUUGUGUUUCAUUGUUACUCUCCGCAACUAGGAGGCCCGCGUGCGACAAGUCGUCACAGUUUUAAAUCAGGAGCCGCUCCCCUGGUGAUACGUGCGAGCCCGAUUUUAUUCAAACCUCCGACUAUAUAAGAUGUCACCAACCGAAUUGCACAAUUAUCCUGUUCUGUCUGGAAAACACCCCUGGGUGCUGUGUCAUCUUUCCCAGUCUAUUAUUAAUGCCUCCGGUUUUCAAUGUUGGAUGUAACUGGUGUAACUGUGGAGGAUUAGUCCACUUCAUAAGAACUUGAGCCUUGCUGGUGCCACUUUGUUUCAAGCGGUUAUAAUAUAUUUUAGCUGUGUUAAUCUGGGUGGAUUUUAGCUGAUGCAAACGCAGAAGAGCUGUAAGAGCAGAUCACAGAGUUAAACUAGAUUAACUACUUUGUUAAAACAAAGGAAGCUUUAGCUGAUCUCCCUCAUAUUAUUCUCACGUUCUUCACGCAACGCGCCGUGUUCCACUUUCAGCGCAAACCAACAACCGGCUUCAUUCUCUGAAGCAAAGUCUGUUUCAUCACGUUUUAUCAGGGUCCCGUGCUUUACGUUUUGCUGCAUUGAGGGACUGGGCUCGGACCAGAACAAGUGCUGGAAGAGGCUCAAGCGGGCCGCGUGCCAGCCCGCAUUCACUGACGGGGGACUUUCAACACCCAUCAAACCAGGUGAUUUUGAGUGCAGGAUGUCAUGUUCACGUCUGAUGCUACGCUGUCAAAAUUUGGGGCAAAUGAAGCCAGAAGGGCAGAGCCAGAAUGGAGCAGGAGGGAAAAGGAGGAUGAAGCCUGAUGUCAUGGUGAGCUGUGUGUGUGUGUGUGUGUGUGUGUGUGUGUGUGUGUGUGUGUGUGUGUGUGUGUGUGUGUGUGUGUGUGUGUGUGUGUGUGUGUGUAUGUUAUAUGUGUGUGUGUACAGUAGAUACAGUGUAUUAGAGUCAUAGUCAGAUCCAUGCAGAAAAAUAUGACUUUUACGAGCUGCUGGUGUGUGUGUGUGUGUGUGUGUGUGUGUGUGUGUGUGUGUGUGUGUGUGUGUGUGUGUGGUGACAGGUGACAGGUCUUCUGGGCCACUGAGCUGGAGACAAGUCGCAUCACUGUCACCUCAUGGCUGCUCUGACAGGGCUGCCAUGACAGGCGUAAGUAACACGUUUUAGCCUGGACAUUAACACACUGUGACAUAUGCUCUCUAACACACAGACGGCCCACUCACCACUUACAGUUUCCAUACUAAUUAUAGGCGCCACACACUGUCGUGGGUCCAUUGCCAGUUGUUGCAUGUUUGUCAAACACUUCAGAAAUGUAUCAGUACUUCCAGUAUAUUAUGCAAAGUCAUUAUUUUCCCUUAGUCAAGUUUAAAUUUAGGGGGGAAAAAAAGCCUAUGCGCUUUAUUGUUGUAGUUAAACUCAAUCAACAACCAUAUUGUAAUGAGAGCUAAUGGGCGCCGUCGUCAUGCAAAUGCACUGGGAUGGAAAAGUCAAGAAAAUCUACACCCUCAGUGUCUUCUACGCUUCUGUGCCUCAUCAAUCUGUGAUGUUUAAAAUGUGCAGGGAGUAAUUUGCUGGACUCAUUCUCUCAGCCUGCUUUUAUUCCCCUGCUCUCCCACCAUUCUCAGAAUAACUAGCGAGGAAAAUAACCUUUAAAUGUGAACAUUCAAUCACAAAGAAUCUUAUAAUAUGAUAAACCACGUCAUUUACACAUCUGCAGUAACGCUCACCUUACGUGUUCCCUCAGAGCUGCAGGAAGCAAAGAAAAAAACAAGAAUUGCUAAAUAAAUUCUUGGUGAGCGCCGACUUCA